Molecule: long non-coding RNA, 458 nt
Filed under: Bos taurus (domestic cattle)
Lineage: Eukaryota; Metazoa; Chordata; Mammalia; Artiodactyla; Bovidae
Description: long non-coding RNA NONBTAT004178
Source: RNAcentral
GACCAGCUCUGUUCACAGAGGGAUAAUUAAAGCUCUCAGGAAUCCAACCAGUGGUCAAAAGGACAAGGACAAACUCAUAUUUCUCAAUGCCAUUCUGGGCAGCUGUGAGCACCUGUCCUUUUGCUGGAAUUUAACCCAGUGGAAUUAGCGUUGCCAUCACCCACGUCUUUAUGGGUUCAGCUGGAACUUAGCAGUCCAUGAGCAGUCCAGCUAGCAUCUAGCUCACCAAUCACAAGCACCAACUGUGCCACUAACUUAGCACUCCUUGGGAAGGCGAGAUUCAGCAAAAAUAAACUCUAACUCGCUUUCUUACUGACUGAGGAAAAGUCUAAAAUUCUAGAAAUUUUAUAAUCCCACAUGGAGGUAUGGUGAUUUCUUUAUUGAAAAAAAACACACAUGGCAAUGUAUUUUCUGACACUGUUGCAAUUCAUGAGUUCUGCAGAGUAAAUUUUGUUACU